AUACGUAGGGUGCAAGCGUUAUCCGGAAUUAUUGGGCGUAAAGGGCUCGUAGGCGGUUCGUCGCGCCCGGUGUGAAAGUCCAUCGCUUAACGGUGGAUCCGCGCCGGGUACGGGCGGGCUUGAGUGCGGUAGGGGAGACUGGAAUUCCCGGUGUAACGGUGGAAUGUGUAGAUAUCGGGAAGAACACCAAUGGCGAAGGCAGGUCUCUGGGCCGUUACUGACGCUGAGGAGCGAAAGCGUGGGGAGCGAACAGGAUUAGAUACCCUGGUAGUCCACGCCGUAAACGGUGGAUGCUGGAUGUGGGGCCCGUUCCACGGGUUCCGUGUCGGAGCUAACGCGUUAAGCAUCCCGCCUGGGGAGUACGGCCGCAAGGCUAAAACUCAAAGAAAUUGACGGGGGCCCGCACAAGCGGCGGAGCAUGCGGAUUAAUCCGAUGCAACGCGAAGAACCUUACCUGGGCUUGACAUGUUCCCGACGAUCCCAGAGAUGGGGUUUCCCUUCGGGGCGGGUUCACAGGUGGUGCAUGGUCGUCGUCAGCUCGUGUCGUGAGAUGUUGGGUUAAGUCCCGCAACGAGCGCAACCCUCGCCCCGUGUUGCCAGCGGAUUGUGCCGGGAACUCACGGGGGACCGCCGGGGUUAACUCGGAGGAAGGUGGGGAUGACGUCAGAUCAUCAUGCCCCUUACGUCCAGGGCUUCACGCAUGCUACAAUGGCCGGUACAACGGGAUGCGACAGCGCGAGCUGGAGCGGAUCCCUGAAAACCGGUCUCAGUUCGGAUCGCAGUCUGCAACUCGACUGCGUGAAGGCGGAGUCGCUAGUAAUCGCGAAUCAGCAACGUCGCGGUGAAUGCGUUCCCGGGCCUUGUACACACCGCCCGUCAAGUCAUGAAAGUGGGCAGCACCCGAAGCCGGUGGCCUAACCCCUUGCGGGAGGGAGCCGUCUAAGGUGAGGCUCGUGAUUGGGACU
Molecule: ribosomal RNA, 965 nt
Filed under: uncultured bacterium
Lineage: Bacteria
Description: bacterial SSU rRNA
Rfam family: Bacterial small subunit ribosomal RNA
Source: RNAcentral